CAAAGGUUAAUUCCGGUGGCGGAUGGGCAUGCGUCGCAUUAGUUAGUUGGCGGUGUAACGGACCACCAAGACGACGAUGCGUAGGGGUUCUGAGAGGAAGGUCCCCCACACUGGUACUGAGACACGGACCAGACUCCUACGGGAGGCAGCAGUGAGGAAUAUUGGUCAAUGGGCGGGAGCCUGAACCAGCCAAGUCGCGUGAGGGAUGACGGCCCUAUGGGUUGUAAACCUCUUUUGCCGGGGAGCAAAGUGCCGCACGUGUGCGGUUUGGAGAGUACCCGGAGAAAAAGCAUCGGCUAACUCCGUGCCAGCAGCCGCGGUAAUACGGAGGAUGCGAGCGUUAUCCGGAUUUAUUGGGUUUAAAGGGUGCGUAGGCGGACGCUUAAGUCAGCGGUAAAAUUGCGGGGCUCAACCUCGUCGAGCCGUUGAAACUGGGUGCCUUGAGUGGGCGAGAAGUACGCGGAAUGCGUGGUGUAGCGGUGAAAUGCAUAGAUAUCACGCAGAACUCCGAUUGCGAAGGCAGCGUACCGGCGCCCAACUGACGCUGAGGCACGAAGGCGUGGGUAUCGAACAGGAUUAGAUACCCUGGUAGUCCACGCAGUAAACGAUGAAUGCUAGUUGUCCGGGGCGAUUGAGUUCUGG
Molecule: ribosomal RNA, 642 nt
Filed under: uncultured bacterium
Lineage: Bacteria
Description: bacterial SSU rRNA
Rfam family: Bacterial small subunit ribosomal RNA
Source: RNAcentral